Molecule: non-coding RNA, 23 nt
Filed under: Arabidopsis thaliana (thale cress)
Lineage: Eukaryota; Viridiplantae; Streptophyta; Magnoliopsida; Brassicales; Brassicaceae
Source: RNAcentral
GAGAUGGUCUUAGUAACUACGAC